This 1131-nucleotide long non-coding RNA is filed under the name Panax ginseng (ginseng). Its description in RNAcentral is "long non-coding RNA (PGIN_LNC011072)". Lineage: Eukaryota; Viridiplantae; Streptophyta; Magnoliopsida; Apiales; Araliaceae. The record is from RNAcentral.
ACGUUAGCAGCUCCCUUUUCAUUUGGAAGCUCUCUGUGCACCGAGUAAGAUUUCUCAUUCUCUCUUUUAUUCUCUGUUGAAAUUAAUUGCGGUGAUAUAUUUGGUAGACUUGAUCUAAAUUAUGUGGCUAUUUAGUUGUUGUACUGUUGAGUUCUGAAGUUUUUCAAUUUACUCCAUAUACAUUUGUAUAUAAAAUAUCAAAUUGGCUUGGCGGAUGCGUUUGGUAGGGGUUUCUUUCUCAGACGCUCCACAAAAGGCCACUUAAAAAUAGAAGUGAAUGGUAUUUCAAAAGGCUAUAUACAAAUAAAAGUGAAUGAUAUUUGAAGUCUUAGGGGGUUUUCUUCAGUGAUGACUGCAAUGAUAGCUGAUUCAUCUCUCAAAACCAUAUAUAUUUUGUGCUCCUUAAAAGCCAUUACCAAAAUUGGACAAUGAUUGAAUAAAAGAGGCUGCUCUUGUCAGGAAUGUUCUGUAUGACUUGGUAUUUAGAGUUCAUUUUUUUGGUUGUGGGAGUUUUAAUUAUGGAACCAUGAAGGGUUUAGAUGAUAUAAGGAUGGAAUAUUGUAUGGAGGUUAUAUGUUUAUAUGUUUGGAUUUCAUGAAACUAGGAUUUUUAAAGUUUGCAUACCAUGUGUUUGUAUAAAUGUCAUAAAGAGGUUAAUUUGGUUAAAACAUGAAAAUUAACGGGUUCUCUUUGUAAAUUGAUGUACAUACAUGAGUUAUAAGUUAACUCAAGUUGUUUGCAAGUAUCGCCGUAUCGUGAUUUUGCAAGUAUAUUUUGACCUCUCUCUCAAAAGUUUCUGGUUCCGUCACUGCAGCGUGUGCGACUUGUCUUACAAAAAUGUUGCUACUGGUGCCAAAUGUGUGGUGUCAGAUCAUCAAGAGCUCAACACUGCAGAAGCUAGAUUGUGGCUCUUUUCUCUGUCUGUUUUAUCUUUUAAUUUCAGUUUUUUUCAACACCAAGACUACUGUGCUACAAAGAUACUACAUAGAUUUCUGGGCAUCUGGCCUUAUUUUUGUGAUGGUUUUAGGGAAUACCCACGUACCCAGUUGGUAUAUUAAUUUGUUUAGACUUAAAUUUACCCCUUUGGAAUGGUCGUACCUUCCUUAAAUCUCAUUGACUUGUUUAUGUCCA